GCCUUCAAGGGAUUUGGAUGAUGCCCACCUGCUCUGGGGAAGGCUCACUGUCUUACUGAGUCCAUUGAUUCCUGUGCUAAUCUCCGCUGGAAACACCCUUACAGACACGUCCAUAAAUAAUGUUUAAUCUGGGCAUCCUUCAGCCCAGGCAAGUUGACAUAUAAGGUGAACCAUCACAUGGAUGUUUAGCUCUUACCAUGGCCAAUAAAUAAAUGCUUUGGAAGGUACAGCCGUGGCCUUCUCUGGAAUUGAGGACCCUCAGAACACUGCUGGCACCCUAGACCUUCCACAGAGCUUGGCCCAGUGAAUGAAUGAUGGGAACUCGGACGCAACAGCAGUGGUGAGAUUUGCUCGGGUCUCUCCUGCCCAAGUUAAUUUGCGUAUCUGUUGUAUGGCUUCCAAGCAAGUCACAAGGGGUUGUGGCUGACCUGACUGUGACACCCCCAGCCCCCACCUGAGGAAGAGGCAACAGCUCCGGCACCUGUUUCUGACCUAGGGGCCAGGUGAUGGCCCGGCUCCACACCACAUCAGGCCUGAGUGUGGGAAAGCAUUGCGGCCAGGAGCCAUCUGGGAACUUGAAACAGAGCCGUGCUCUCCUCCGAGCUGUCUGGUUUCAAUUAAACCCAUGGCUAAAACCUCCACCAG
Long non-coding RNA from Pan troglodytes (chimpanzee), 645 nucleotides. RefSeq lists it as uncharacterized. NCBI's taxonomy places the organism in Eukaryota, Metazoa, Chordata, Mammalia, Primates, Hominidae. The transcript has 3 exons. The record is from RefSeq and is a predicted model, not a curated record.